UCAUUUUAUCGAUAAGAAAAUAAGACGAAUCCUAAGACAACACUAAAUAACAUGGAAUAAAAUGUCACUAAUGGCCAUAGGCAAUAUUACAUUUGCAAAGGAAAGGAAACUCCUAUCUAUUUGGUCCUAGAAGGACCUUCCCCAGAUUCGGCAGUAUUGUCUCCUUCGUACAGCUCUCCCAGCUCGCGCAGUCCUAGAAACAAGUAGGCCCUGUCUAGAUGUCCGCCUUCAUUUCCUUCAGCAACUCGGCCAUCUUCGUCCCUCUUCAGAACUUUCUUUUAAGUUCUACUAUGCCUUGCUCCAAGCGGAUCAGUCAUUGUUAGCGCUGACAGCCAUAUCCCUCCAAUUUCUAAUUAGCUUUUGAUUGGCUUCUUUUAUUUCACGGUGCUCAUUUCACAUUCCCACAUCCUCUUGCGCAAUUGGUUGUAUUUUACUUGUGCUUUAGCCCUUUCUCAAUGAUCCUGUGACCUCGAACAAACCCGAGCUGACCCAAAUCAUUGUGAUUAUCUUCCAGCCAACUAAAUACUGUAGGGUACAACCAUCAUGGUAGCGAUAUGUUUCGAUGGUAUCUCUUCCUAAGACAAUUUUGUAAUGCCACAUGUGCUGAGCCUAGCACAUGUAUGGACUAUUGUAAUCCUGGAAGUCGGCUUGGAAGUGACUCAUUUUGUCGAACUCUGGCAUAACCUGCUUCCUACCCGCCUGUCUUAUAACCCGGACAGGGACAUAUGGAUAGGUCACUCUCAAGCCAAUCAGUAUUAGAAACGGUGCAUCCCUAGAUCGAAUGAUGAAUUAUUCAGUGGGAAACCACUCGGACAUCCAUUGCACUUGGUCCUCAGUAAGAUAGUCAAAGAGUUCGACCCAUUCUCUAGCAUUUUCUAGUUGUUUGAACAUGUUGGGAAUGUAAUUCAUUCGUUUUGGGUGAUGAAAGGCGAUAUGAUUGUCCCAGUCUCUACGAUGGAUUUCCUGCCGGUACUCACCCUUUUGGAGGUGUUCCAUGAGCCAUAAUUGGAGUAGCAAAUUACAACCCUCGGUAUAUAUUUGUAACUAUCAUUGGCGCAAGACUGAAUGGCUGUCCGUUAAUUCCUUCCAUUAUGGUUUUAGUUUUGGGUGAUGAAAGGCGAUAUGAUUGUCCCAGUCUCUACGAUGGAUUUCCUGCCGGUACUCACCCUUUUGGAGGUGUUCCAUGAGCCAUAAUUGGAGUAGCAGAUUACAGCCUUCAAAAUGUUUGGCUCCUUGUUGGCAGCUUUCCAGGGCUCGGUGUAUUUUUGCAACUAUCAUUGGCACAAGACUGAACGACUAUCUAUUAAUUCCUUCCAUUAAAGCUUUGGUGACCAUGGUAGACUGGUAAGGAUUCUUGUUUUAUUCAUUGGAAACACUAUCAUCCCCACAAAACAAAACAUGAAUACGAAGACCCCUUUGAUGGAUAUGUCCUAAUGAGGUGAGGGCGAUCUCAUCAGGAUAAGUACGGUAGGAUUUGCUGUGAUCGUAUCUUUCAUACAAGUAGUCAAAAGGAAUGUAUGACUCCUUCAGACAUGUCAAGUCGGGAUUCUUCUUUAGACCCAUCAUUUUGAGAAAUCCCCUACCCUUGCGAUUUAUGGCAUUACCAAACCCGGAGCUUCCCAUGGUAUCCCAGCUAGUCCUCCUAUUUCCUCAAGCAAAGGUGUCAUUUAAAGGUCCCC
RNAcentral lists this long non-coding RNA (1679 nucleotides) under Nicotiana benthamiana. RNAcentral's name for it is "long non-coding RNA (NBEN_LNC030207)". The record is from RNAcentral. Lineage: Eukaryota; Viridiplantae; Streptophyta; Magnoliopsida; Solanales; Solanaceae.